CCUACGGGAGGCAGCAGUAAGGAAUAUUGGUCAAUGGGCGCAAGCCUGAACCAGCCAUGCCGCGUGCAGGAAGACGGCCCUAUGGGUUGUAAACUGCUUUUGAACAAGAGAAAACCUCGGUACGUGUACCGAGCUGAUAGUAUUGUUAGAAUAAGCAUCGGCUAACUUCGUGCCAGCAGCCGCGGUAAGACGAAGGAUGCAAGCGUUAUCCGGAUUCAUUGGGUUUAAAGGGUGCGUAGGCGGCCUGAUAAGUCAGUGGUGAAAUCUCUCAGCUUAACUGAGAAACUGCCAUUGAUACUGUCGGGCUUGAGUACAGAUGAUGUGGGCGGAAUAUGACAUGUAGUGGUGAAAUACUUAGAUAUGUCAUAGAACACCGAUUGCGAAGGCAGCUCACAAAACUGUAACUGACGCUGAGGCACGAAAGUGCGGGGAUCAAACAGGAUUAGAUACCCUGGUAGUCCGCACCGUAAACGAUGAUUACUCGUUGUUGGCAAUAUGACCCGUUGAGCGACCGACGACGAAGACGAAGUAAGUAAGUUACACCGUACGGGUUAGGUUACGGACCGGCCGACGGACGGAACGACGAAGAGAGUUAGACGGACGNGAGACGAGCGACGGACGACGACGAGGAGGUAGGAG
This 639-nucleotide ribosomal RNA is filed under the name uncultured bacterium. Its description in RNAcentral is "bacterial SSU rRNA". The stretch from base 1 to 544 matches the Rfam family "Bacterial small subunit ribosomal RNA", at positions 338 to 873 of the family's 1533-position model. The record is from RNAcentral.